CCUACGGGGGGCUGCAGUCGAGAAUCUUCGGCAAUGGGCGAAAGCCUGACCGAGCGACGCCGCGUGCGGGAUGAAGGCCUUCGGGUUGUAAACCGCUGUCGGCGGGGAUGAAAUGCCGAUGGGUACUCCCAACGGCUUGACUGAUCCUCGGAGGAAGGGUGGGCUAAGUUCGUGCCAGCAGCCGCGGUAAGACGUACCACCCAAACGUUAUUCGGAAUCACUGGGCUUAAAGAGUCCGUAGGCGGCUCGGUAAGUUGGAUGUGAAAUACCUCGGCUCAACCGAGGAACUGCAUUCAAAACUACCGAGCUUGAGAGAGACAGAGGUAAGCGGAACUGAUGGUGGAGCGGUGAAAUGCGUUGAUAUCAUCAGGAACACCGGUGGCGAAGGCGGCUUACUGGGUCUCUUCUGACGCUGAGGGACGAAAGCUAGGGGAGCGAACGGGCUUAGAUACCCCGGUAGU
Molecule: ribosomal RNA, 461 nt
Filed under: uncultured Pasteuria sp.
Lineage: Bacteria; Bacillati; Bacillota; Bacilli; Caryophanales; Pasteuriaceae
Description: bacterial SSU rRNA
Rfam family: Bacterial small subunit ribosomal RNA
Source: RNAcentral